UUGCCAUCAAGCACGUUGGUUGGCGGCGAACGGCUCAGUAACACGUAGUCAACCUGCCCUUGGGUCGAGAACAAUCUCGGGAAACUGAGGCUAAUUCUCGAUAAAUCAAGAUUCCUGGAAUGGGUUUUGGUCGAAACGGCGUAACAGCAUCUUGUUACUUUCGCCCAAGGAUGGGACUGCGGCCGAUCAGGCUGUUGGUGAGGUAAAGGCUCACCAAACCAGUAACCGGUACGGGCUUUGAGAGAAGGAGCCCGGAGAUGGACACUGAGACAAGGGUCCAGGUCCUACGGGGCGCAGCAGGCGCGAAACCUUCGCAAUGCGCGCAAGCGCGACGAGGCUAUUCUGAGUGAUUUCCGCUGAGGAAAUCUUUUCUUAGAUCUAAAAAGUCUGGGGAAUAAGGGGAGGGCAAGUCUGGUGUCAGCCGCCGCGGUAAUACCAGCCCCUCGAGUGGUCAGGGCGUUUAUUGGGCCUAAAGCAUCCGUAGCCGGCUCAUUAGGUCUCCUGUUAAAUCCAACGGCUCAACCGUUGGUCUGCAGGAGAUACCGAUGGGCUAGGAGGCGGGAGAGGCGGACGGUACUCCGAGGGUAGGGGUAAAAUCCUUUGAUCCCCGGAAGACCACCAGUGGCGAAGGCGGUCCGCCAGAACGCGCUCGACGGUGAGGGAUGAAAGCUGGGGGAGCGAACCGGAUUAGAUACCCGGGUAGUCCCAGCUGUAAACGAUGCGAGCUAGGUGACACAAGGCCUUCGGGGCCUUGUGGUGCCGCAGGGAAGCCGUUAAGCUCGCCGCCUGGGGAGUACGGACGCAAGUCUGAAACUUAAAGGAAUUGGCGGGGGAGCACCACAAGGGGUGAAGCCUGCGGUUCAAUUGGAGUCAACGCCGG
This 880-nucleotide ribosomal RNA is filed under the name uncultured archaeon. RNAcentral's name for it is "bacterial SSU rRNA". It matches the Rfam family "Archaeal small subunit ribosomal RNA", at positions 60 to 921 of the family's 1478-position model. The record is from RNAcentral.